This 495-nucleotide ribosomal RNA is filed under the name uncultured bacterium. Its description in RNAcentral is "partial 16S ribosomal RNA". It matches the Rfam family "Bacterial small subunit ribosomal RNA", at positions 28 to 507 of the family's 1533-position model. The record is from RNAcentral.
GACGAACGCUGGCGGCGUGCCUAAUACAUGCAAGUAGAACGCUGAAGGAGGAGCUUGCUUCUCUGGAUGAGUUGCGAACGGGUGAGUAACGCGUAGGUAACCUGCCUGGUAGCGGGGGAUAACUAUUGGAAACGAUAGCUAAUACCGCAUAAGAGUAGAUGUUGCAUGACAUUUACUUAAAAGGUGCAAUUGCAUCACUACCAGAUGGAACUGCGUUGUAUUAGCUAGUUGGUGAGGUAACGGCUCACCAAGGCAACGAUACAUAGCCGACCUGAGAGGGUGAUCGGCCACACUGAGACGGAGACACGGCCCAGACUCCUACGGGAGGCAGCAGUAGGGAAUCUUCGGCAAUGGACGGAAGGCUGACCGAGCAACGCCGCGUGAGUGAAGAAGGGUUUCGGAUCGUAAAGCUCUGUUGUAAGAGAAGAAAGAGUGUGAGAGUGGAAAGUUCACACUGUGACGGUAUCUUACCAGAAAGGGACGGCUAACUACGUG